Molecule: ribosomal RNA, 879 nt
Filed under: Lamprospora tortulae-ruralis
Lineage: Eukaryota; Fungi; Ascomycota; Pezizomycetes; Pezizales; Pyronemataceae
Description: partial large subunit ribosomal RNA
Rfam family: Eukaryotic large subunit ribosomal RNA
Source: RNAcentral
CUGCGAGUGAAGCGGCAAAAGCUCAAAUUUGAAAUCUGACGUUCAUACUGACGUUCGAGUUGUAAUUUGGAGGAGCGCCUUCGGGAACCGACGCCGUUCUAAGUUCUUUUGGAACUGGACAUCACAGAGGGUGAGAAUCCCGUGCCUGGGCGGCAGUCUGGUUCCCAUACGAAGCGUUUCCGACGAGUCGAGUUGUUUGGGAAUGCAGCUCAAAAUGGGUGGUAAAUUUCAUCUAAAGCUAAAUACAGGCGAGAGACCGAUAGCGCACAAGUAGAGUGAUCGAAAGAUGAAAAGCACUUUGAAAAGAGAGUUAAACAGUACGUGAAAUUGUUGAAAGGGAAGCGCUUGAGAUUGAACUAUGACAGGAUGGAGCUGUGCGAGGGCCUCGGCUCUUGUUACACCCCUUCAUUCUCCCUCCAACCACCAUCGGUUCCGGCGGCGAGAAAAACGGCUGGGGAAUGUGGCUCCCCUCGAGGAGUGUUAUAGACCUAGGCCGAAUUGCGCCAGCUGGGACCGAGGCAAAGAGCGAGCUUGGGGUCUCGUACCCCUUGACCUCAAGGAUGUGUGGCAUGUCGAUCUUAAGCGACCCGUCUUGAAACACGGACCAAGGAGUCUAACAUCUAUGCGAGUGUUCGGGUGGAAAACCCUUGCGCGUAAUGAAAGUGAACGGAGGUGGGAACCACUUUUGUGGUGCACCAUCGACCGAUCCUGAUGUCUUCGGAAGGAUUUGAGUAUGAGCAUAGCUGUUGGGACCCGAAAGAUGGUGAACUAUGCCUGAAUAGGGUGAAGCCAGAGGAAACUCUGGUGGAGGCUCGCAGCGGUUCUGACGUGCAAAUCGAUCGUCAAAUUUGGGUAUAGGGGCGAAAGACUAAUCGAACC